GAAAGCACGACAUUGCUCACAUUGCUUCCAGUAUUACUUUAGCCAGCUUCUCGCUGGCUUUUUUUU
This 66-nucleotide non-coding RNA is filed under the name Enterobacter hormaechei. The record is from RNAcentral. RNAcentral also lists the same sequence under 2 other names. Lineage: Bacteria; Pseudomonadati; Pseudomonadota; Gammaproteobacteria; Enterobacterales; Enterobacteriaceae.